This 318-nucleotide ribosomal RNA is filed under the name Pseudomonas aeruginosa. RNAcentral's name for it is "partial 23S ribosomal RNA". It matches the Rfam family "Bacterial large subunit ribosomal RNA", at positions 1008 to 1327 of the family's 2925-position model. Lineage: Bacteria; Pseudomonadati; Pseudomonadota; Gammaproteobacteria; Pseudomonadales; Pseudomonadaceae. The record is from RNAcentral.
UCGUGAAAAGGGAAACAACCCAGACCGCCAGCUAAGGUCCCAAAGUUGUGGUUAAGUGGUAAACGAUGUGGGAAGGCUUAGACAGCUAGGAGGUUGGCUUAGAAGCAGCCACCCUUUAAAGAAAGCGUAAUAGCUCACUAGUCGAGUCGGCCUGCGCGGAAGAUGUAACGGGGCUCAAACCACACACCGAAGCUGCGGGUGUCACGUAAGUGACGCGGUAGAGGAGCGUUCUGUAAGCCUGUGAAGGUGAGUUGAGAAGCUUGCUGGAGGUAUCAGAAGUGCGAAUGCUGACAUGAGUAACGACAAUGGGUGUGAAAA